GGGAAUAGAAGACGGAGAGCGAGGUAGGUCCAGGAUACGCCUAGAGUACUUGCUUGCUUGGGAUCUGAUAAAGGCGCACUAGAAGAGUUCGUCUAGAGAGAGCCGGGCCCUCCCCCGCGCCGUUAACGAGCUCCUAGUCAGCAAGGGAAAAACCACGUAUUUAUUUCCAUUUAUUUCCUACCCCACAUCGAAGCGAAGGCAAGCAACCGUACAACUCGAAAACACGUCGCCAUCUCGAGGAGUAACCGGGCAGCCAGUGGGUUAUAAACACUACCUAGAUAUUUCUACUUUUUAAAACGGCUCAUCGGGGCGCAGUUAAACAUGUACCUCUUCACGGCUGUUUUUCCUCCUGGGAAGGGAGUACUGUUCCAAAGGAUUUUUUCAAACAACUAUGGGACACUAGUUUUCUUCUGAGCAAUACCAACGAUCCGACUGGUACUGAGUCUCAAACUUCAGGUGGUCCGUUUCCCUACACGUUCUCGAUUACCUGUAACACGACGCUUUGCGGAGACUUCUCAGUACUUCGGUGGUUCUCUGCUCCAACCCUUUCAGCCAACCCCACCUCUACAGCCACUACAUCUUCAACGUUACGGGUUCCUGGUCCAAGGUUUAUCGUGCUUUCUUUCCCGUACACUGCACUUAUACAACUGGGCAGAGUUUCACAUCACCGUGUUGUUCGUACUGACCAAUACUCCGGUUGGAGUUUACCGAUCCAACAGGCGGCAUUCCUAAAAUAAAACUCGCUAACCUAGGUCAUAUAUACGGAGGGUUUAGUAACUUCACCGUACGCAACCCUACCUCGGAAACUCAACUCGCUACGUACGACUAAACCUACUUAUAAAAAGUAGGCA
Molecule: ribosomal RNA, 851 nt
Filed under: Triticum aestivum (bread wheat)
Lineage: Eukaryota; Viridiplantae; Streptophyta; Magnoliopsida; Poales; Poaceae
Description: partial small subunit ribosomal RNA
Source: RNAcentral